AAUCAACGCUGGCGGCGUGCCUAACACAUGCAAGUCGAACGCGAAAGCCCGCAAGGGGUAAGUAGAGUGGCGCACGGGUGAGUAACACGUGGACAACCUGCCUUCGAGUGGGGAAUAACCUUCCGAAAGGAGGGCUAAUACCGCAUAACACCUCGGGACACGAGUUCUGGGGUUGAAAAGAGCAAUUUGCUCGAAGAGGGGUCCGCGCCUGAUUAGCUAGUUGGUGAGGUAACGGCUCACCAAGGCUUCGAUCAGUAGCCGUCCUGAGAGGGAGCACGGCCACACUGGAACUGAGACACGGUCCAGACUCCUACGGGAGGCAGCAGUGGGGAAUUUUUGGCAAUGGGCGAAAGCCUGACC
This 360-nucleotide ribosomal RNA is filed under the name uncultured bacterium. RNAcentral describes it as "bacterial SSU rRNA". It matches the Rfam family "Bacterial small subunit ribosomal RNA", at positions 32 to 388 of the family's 1533-position model. The record is from RNAcentral.